RNAcentral lists this ribosomal RNA (250 nucleotides) under uncultured prokaryote. RNAcentral's name for it is "partial 16S ribosomal RNA". It matches the Rfam family "Bacterial small subunit ribosomal RNA", at positions 524 to 773 of the family's 1533-position model. The record is from RNAcentral.
UACAGAGGUCUCGAGCGUUGUUCGGAUUUACUGGGCGUAAAGGGCGCGUAGGCGGCGAGGCGUGUCGAGUGUGAAAUCUCCGGGCUCAACCCGGAAAGUGCGCUCGAAACUGCCCCGCUAGAGUACGGGAUGGGGAAUCGGAAUAUAGGGUGUAGCGGUGAAAUGCGUUGAUAUCCUAUAGAACACCGGAGGCGGAGGCGGAUUCCUGGAACGUCACUAACGCUGAGGCGCGAAAGUCGGGGGAGCAAAC